AACCACUACCCAACUUUAUAAAUGCAUACAUGAAAAUCACCUGGUACAAAGAGACCUGUUACAAUUUCCUUUUCUGCCCCUAUAUCCUUUCUUUUCCUCUCUUCCCUAAAGCAAAGGUGGGGCUAGAGAGGAUGGCCAGGGUCCCUCCCUUCCAGUCUUGACAUGCCAAGGAACAAGUGAUGGCAGGCUUAGGAUGCACUGUGGGGAGAAAGUCAGACCUCCACCCCUGCGUUUCCCUAGGGUAAGACGCCAUUUCUGCUUGGACUGGCACUGGGCCUCCAGGGAGAGGAUGCAGUUUCAGCCCAGAACUGGAUGCCUUACUCAGAGGAGUGCUGUGAGUGGAAGCGGGGCAGGAAAACUGAGCUGAGAGGAAGAGACAAGUCCCAGAUCACUCAGGGGUCUCCAGCAAAGCCACAGCUCUGGACUUCCCAUUCAGUGCUCCUCACAGCAAUGGCCCCCAAACUACAAGUUUCCCAGAGUUAUCUGGACACAGACGAAACACCAGCUAGAAGAGUGCUUUGGAAAAGAACAUGAUACAAGGUGAGUUCAAGUGUUGGGUCAAAAUGUUUCUAAUGGACAAAGGGUGGUAAGGUUCUGUCCCCUGGCAGCCUAAGGCAUGAGGCAACAGGAAGAGAAGAGGCCAGCAGGUGAAAGGCCCUGCUUACAUACAGGUGAAAGGCCAGCCAGCUGUCCACCUGGCUAGAGAAAGGUAGAGACUUUAUGACUUUUAAAAUGAAGCAGCCAUGAAAUGUGAUUAUGUGGCAGGCCCCUAAUUGGCUAUAGGAGUAUGGCGCCUGGGGAGGCAUGCCAGAGAAAUGGGUGGGGUCACUCUGCAGAGCACUGAGCUGGGCACUGCAGGCGAGGGUGGAGGCUCAGCAGCCUGAAUCACAGGACAGUCUGGAGGAGGAUAGGAGACCGGAAUACAGUCUCAGGUCAGCCGCAGGCUUGCUCUGGGUCUCCGCGCCUCUGUUUCCCCAAAGAACCCAGAAGCAGCCCUGAUUUUAAGAUCACUGGGUGUAGCUGUUAAUCAGAACUUGUUCAGUCUCUAGAAGCCCACAAGGCAAGGAUUGCAAAAGCCAGGGUUUUCAUGUCAGAGGCCGAGAAAGGAAAAAGGCUUCGCCAGGCCUGAGGGUACAGCUCAGAGCCCACUCUACAUCACAAUGAGCCUGUCUGUCUGCUUGCCCCUCUGUGGACAACCCCUGGAUGCUCAUCUUACAUGCAAGGAUUUUUCUCCUGCCACAGUGCAUGGCAGUCCCUUUAAGUCCUGUCUUUCACAGCUCAACUCAAAAGGUCCCCCAGAGUCUCCCUUCUCUCAAUUCUUUGGGAGCCACAGACCCAGAAGCCGUACAGUGAGUGGCCAGUGAGUAGGUGACAAACAUCUGGUGGUCCCCGGCCAAGCAGAGGACCAGCCAGAGUGUCAUAGAUGACCACUGGUAACUGAAGAGUCUGUGGUACAGCACUCAGCACGAGCAUGUGGGCUGGGCAGUGACAGAUGGCCCUGCCACAUGCUGGUUGUCCCAGGAGUUGCAUGCACGAGUUCAGAGUUAUCCACGGUGUGAUACUUAUGGUGUGCAAGACAUAUAUUUUCCUGGUACAUGUUAGAAUGGAGAUAAAAACUAGCAAUGCAAACUUAUGAUUUAAUGAGAUGUGGUAUAAUAGCUAUGUAAUGAAAUAUAUAAAAAUAAAGCUCUUCAUGUAUUAAUCUGUGACACUCUCCAAGUUAGCUUUAAGAAGCAAGUUUCAGAUUUGUGUAUUUUAUACUACCUUUUGUGUAAAAAACCAAAAUUGAUACGGCUGGGGGAGAUGCACGCACAUGAAAAGAAUGCACAUGAAAAGUAAUGAUGUACUGUACUUAGAGGACCUGGGUGGCUAUGGAGGGGAUAGAAGGGAAACUUCAUUUUAUACCCUUUGGCACAUUUCUGAAUUCUGAACCAUGUGAAUGGAUCAACUAUUCAAAGUACAAGGCCUGUGGCUUCACAUUACUUAGAACAAAGCAAUUUAAGUAAAAAUGCUUAAUGAAAAAUUACGCUAGUGCAGCUCAGUGAAUGAUGCUGCAGCAGAGGCUAUGUGAGGCCCAUUCCAAUACUACAGGCCUUGUUUUAAAAGUCUGGCUCUGAUGUUCCAGAGGUUCUUGAACCUCUGAAGCCGUUCUUGGGGCCCUAUUAAGCAGCUAUUCACCUGGUAGCAGGGGCUGCUGAGAGCCAAGAAUAAGCCCUUCUGCAGAACUUUGCCACUGGCAGGCCAAAGACAAAUUUCACUUUAGAAACUUGCCUACGAUAGAUACCCUGGGUUAUAUCCACAUCCACCCAGGUAGGCUGCUGCAUUAGAACUCACUAAAAUUCUCAGUGACCCGUUUUCCAGACCUCAUGCUGGAUCGAACAGCUCCAAGUCCUGCCAUCAUGGAAAGGGCUGGCAGUCCAGUGGGGGACCCGUGGAGGCCCAGAGGUGAGGCACUCAAAGACAACAUGAAGAUAGCGUGGUCUGGGCUUCAAAAGGGGUGGUAUGAGGAACUGAGGGUGCCCCAGAAAGAUUUUUAAUGUUGCCUGGGGACAAUCAAAGAUGAGUUCCCAGGAGGUGACAUUGGAUUUGGACUGUGAAGAGCAAGCAGGGAGCCUGCCAAGUGGAAAAGCAGUGACAAGACUGCAUUCCAGGUAGAUGGAACAGUACGUGCAAGGGAAAGAAACAGGGUCUGAUAUCAUCAGGCUAAGAAACAGAGUGCUCAUGAGGCUCAGUGUGAGCUGUCUCAGAGGAGCAGGGCCCCGGACCCUUUGUAGGCACACAGCACUGAGACCAGUGAUAUGUUCCUAUUCCCAUCUCCUGCACUCACUACACCAGCUUGAUCACUGCUGGGCUUGGCAUCAAAACUCUGGCUGAAAUGCAGUGAGUGCUACCUUUCACCUUGGAAUUGGAAGCCUGCUAGCCCUGCCGCUAGGCCUCAGUUUCUUCACCUAGGAAAUGGGGCUAAUGUUUCCUCCUUAGAGUCGCUGUCAAAUUCUGUAUCAGGGAGCAGAGAAGAGCUUCCUUGACAAGUGCUUGCCAAAGGCCACCAGAGCUCAUCUGCCAGUUUGCCUGUGGCUGCAAAUGAAGCACAGUGAGUAAGUCCAUCUACUCAACCUGUGUUUACUUAAGUGGCCAGCUGAUGUACCGCUGAUGACUCAGAGAAAGUGGUGGUGGGGAACAAUGCAGAAUCCAGAGUCUGGGACUCUCAGUGGUUUAUCACUGCUCUCCAGGGAUGGGGUGACCUUCCAUAGCACUCCAUGCUUUUCUAGGCCUUGGCACCUGCUGUGUCCUCUGUAGUUUCCACUCUGGGAACUCCUAAAAAUAGAAGCUGGGUUUUUUCAUCUCUGCAACUAGAGUGCCCAGGUAGGCAUUAGCACUGAACAAUUGUUAAAAAAACAAAAGAAACCAAAAGAAACCAGAAAAGCUGGGUGUUAUGGCACACGCCUGCGAGCCUGGCAUUCAGAAGGCUGAGGCAGGAUUGCUGUUGAGUUUGAGGCCAGCCUGGGCUACAUAGUGAGUUCAAGGCCAGCCUGAACUACAUACUGAGACCCUGUCCUAAAAAAAAAUUUUUUUUUUAAAUCCCACUAAACUUAUGGAUUUAGGCAAAACUCUGGUUUUCCCAGAGUGCUCAUCCUAACUCAGCUAUUCGUCAAACCCCUAGUGAGUGCAGGACUGUCAGAACUCUGAGAAGUGGGAACAGGGUAAUGCACUCCCCCAACCCUCCACUUCAUGCCCACAGGGCUGCAGUUGGGAGACCUUUGAAGUCAGUCAGAUCAAGUUCAAAUCCCAACUCUCUUAGGAGUGCCACAGGCUUCUCAGCUCAGCAAAGCCCUGGGCUCAGUCAGGCUCCAGCAUACAGGAGGAUGCCUCAUGUCCCCACUCCAUGCCCUUUUCAUGCCAAUUCUGAGAGUCCUGGGGAUCUGAGGCCCACUGAGUGCCCUCACCCCAAGCCAUUGACGAUGUGUUGGUUCCCACACGCUGGGAUGAUAGCCACCCUGUGUACAUGACUUGCCAAACAUUUGACCUUUUGACCCCUGCCUGUGUGCCCUUCCUCAGCAUCACUGGGGCCUUGGGCUUGCCUCGCAGCAGGCUCUCAGUCAAUACUGGCAGAGGGAGGGCACCUGGCACCGCCCUCAGAGUCAGGGCAUGGCCCGUGGUAGAAGGAUCCUGAGCUGGCAGACUCCAGACAUCACUCCACCUCAUCCUCCUCUCACGGCUUCUGGCAUGAUGUUCAGAGGUGGCCUGGAGCAUGAAGCGCAGGCUAAGCACUUAGUCUAUAGGUCUAAGGAGGGCAGGGAGAGGUAUGGCAGGGGUUCACCUGAUCCAUGACAUCUCUUUUUAUUUAUUUUGGGCAACAUUUCCUUUCUAAGAUUUCAUAGGAACAAAGUUCUAGGCAUUAAAAAAGAAAGCAGCCCAAGAAGGUGCAGAUUGUUAACACCCUCAUUUAAUAUACCAGGAGCCCAGGUGCUGAGGAUACUCAGCAAACAAAAGCCAGGGCUAGCACUGAGUUCUUUGGACUCCUUCCUGGAGUUUUGCCCCUGACUCCUUUUAUCCUGCUGACUCCUGUCAAAGGUGAUGGGCUAGCCACAGAAGCCUGGGCUCUGGGUGACCUCGAGAACUGAUUCUUCCUGAAGUCAUUUUCUUCCAGCCUCCUAGUGAUGACAAGACGCCUGCAUGACUGAACCACCCUACACCCCAUGGUGGCCCUGGAAGCAGAAGGUGCUCAUCAAUGUCUGAAGCAGAGAGGAGAGGACAGAGCUGGGGCGCUUAUCGGCAGCACCAGCGAGUCACCGGGCAUCCUGCCAGGGGCUCGGUGGACGUCCUGAUUUAACCACCGUGAAUAUGCUCCACUCCAGGGACAGAUUGCUCCCACUUCACAGAGGAGAAACGGGAGGCUCAGAGAAGAAAAAGCACACAAUCAGAGGGUCCUGGGCCUCGGAGAAGCUUCAAUUUUAUGUUCUUUCUGCUCAGGCCCUCCCCCUGCUUACUGGUAAUGGUCCCUGAAGGGAACAAGGUGUUUACCUGGUUCUUUCCGGGUAGGCCAAUUUCCAUUCCAGUAAUUCUCUAAGCCUUGACCAUUCCCAUCUGGGACGGCCCAAGCUCAAGUUCAGGAACCUUUUGGCUGCUUGGCUGGAUUUUGCUUUAAGUCAAGGAUGAGUAACUAUGGCCCCCUGAGCCACAUAUGGCCUGCAGUUAAGGACACGCUUUACAUUUCUAAGUGACGAGGGGGUGUGUGUGUGGGGGGAGAUGAUAUAUGAAAACUGAAUCAAACUCAAGUUGCCAUGACCAUUAAUAAGCUUUACUGGCCACACUCAUUGAAUGUGUUUAUUAUUUGUGGCUGCUUUCCCACUACAGCAGCACAUCUAAGUGGCUGAAGCAGAGACCCCAAGGCCCACAAAGCUGACAAUAUUAACUAUCAGGCCCUUUACAGAAAGUCUGUCAACCACCGAUUUAAAUCCCAGGUUCCCUAAGCUGUUUGCUACAUGGAAACCCAAUGUAUGAAUUGGAAAAGAUUUCUAAAGCCUUUCAAGGCAAAAAUAUAUCAUUGCUUCUAAAUACCUGAAAAAUAUAUCCUAUAAUGGGGUGUUAAAUGCAGACAACUGGCUCCUAGGGCUGUGUGCAUGGCACUUGGGUUCACGAACUAGCCCCUGGAGAAGCUGGUAUGGGUAUGCAUUCAGCGGUUCGAUGGGCAUCAAUUCAACUAAGAUAAAAUGAAUUUGCUAAGUCUGGGCAUAUACAAAGGUUACUGUCACUCUCAGCAAACAAGUUUAAGCCUCAGCUCCUCCACUUCUGUGACCUUAAAAAAUUCCUUUCCCUUAAAACUUCAGUUCUCCAGAAGGUUUUUCAACUGGGCAUAGUGGUGCAUGCCUGUAAUUCCAGCACUCUGGGCGGCUGGGGCAGGAGGAUGACAAGUUUGAGCCCAGCCUGGGUAACUCAGCAGAAAAUAAAAAACUUUUAAAGGUUAGAGAUGUAGCUUAGUGUAGAGGCCCUCAGUUCAAUCCCCACCACUGAAAGAAAAAAAGGGGGGGGGCAGGGGUUUCUAAGAAUAAAUUACUAAAGUAAAGAUUGUGCUUAAAUGCAUACUCCCAACACUAUCCUAGUACACGGGGACUCAGCAAAAACUAAACUAGUUCCUGCCUGUGGAAGUUGAUUAUUCUAGUCAAGGGCUAGGGAAGAAAAUAAAUACAUAAGGGCCAGGGGUUUGGCUCAGUGGUUCUGCCGCCUGCCUUGCAAGUGCAGGGUCCUGAGUUCGAUCCCUGGUACCAAAAAAAAAAAAAAAA
Heterocephalus glaber (naked mole-rat) is the source of this 6281-nucleotide non-coding RNA. Lineage: Eukaryota; Metazoa; Chordata; Mammalia; Rodentia; Bathyergidae. The record is from RefSeq and is a predicted model, not a curated record.